This 253-nucleotide ribosomal RNA is filed under the name uncultured bacterium. RNAcentral's name for it is "partial 16S ribosomal RNA". It matches the Rfam family "Bacterial small subunit ribosomal RNA", at positions 524 to 776 of the family's 1533-position model. The record is from RNAcentral.
UACGUAGGGGGCAAGCGUUGUCCGGAAUCAUUGGGCGUAAAGAGCGUGUAGGCGGUCCGGUAAGUCGGCUGUGAAAGUCCAGGGCUCAACCCUGGGAGGCGGGUGGAUACUGCUGAGCUCGAGUCCGGAAGAGGCGAGUGGAAUUCCUGGUGUAGCGGUGAAAUGCGCAGAUAUCAGGAGGAACACCAAUGGCGAAGGCAGCUCGCUGGGACGGUACUGACGCUGAGACGCGAAAGCGUGGGGAGCAAACAGG